AGAGUUUGAUCCUGGCUCAGAUUGAACGCUGGCGGCAUGCCUUACACAUGCAAGUCGAACGGUAACAGGUUAAGCUGACGAGUGGCGAACGGGUGAGUAAUAUAUCGGAACGUACCCAAGAGUGGGGGAUAACGUAGCGAAAGUUACGCUAAUACCGCAUACGAUCUAUGGAUGAAAGCAGGGGACCGCAAGGCCUUGUGCUCCUGGAGCGGCCGAUAUCUGAUUAGCUAGUUGGUAGGGUAAAGGCCUACCAAGGCAUCGAUCAGUAGCUGGUCUGAGAGGACGACCAGCCACACUGGAACUGAGACACGGUCCAGACUCCUACGGGAGGCAGCAGUGGGGAAUUUUGGACAAUGGGCGCAAGCCUGAUCCAGCAAUGCCGCGUGAGUGAAGAAGGCCUUCGGGUUGUAAAGCUCUUUUGUCAGGGAAGAAACGGGUGGGGCUAAUAUCCUCAUCUAAUGACGGUACCUGAAGAAUAAGCACCGGCUAACUACGUGCCAGCAGCCGCGGUAAUACGUAGGGUGCAAGCGUUAAUCGGAAUUACUGGGCGUAAAGCGUGCGCAGGCGGUUUUGUAAGUCUGUCGUGAAAUCCCCGGGCUCAACCUGGGAAUGGCGAUGGAGACUGCAAGGCUAGAGUUUGGCAGAGGGGGGUAGAAUUCCACGUGUAGCAGUGAAAUGCGUAGAUAUGUGGAGGAACACCGAUGGCGAAGGCAGCCCCCUGGGUCAAGAUUGACGCUCAUGCACGAAAGCGUGGGGAGCAAACAGGAUUAGAUACCCUGGUAGUCCACGCCCUAAACGAUGUCUACUAGUUGUCGGGUCUUAAUUGACUUGGUAACGCAGCUAACGCGUGAAGUAGACCGCCUGGGGAGUACGGUCGCAAGAUUAAAACUCAAAGGAAUUGACGG
RNAcentral lists this ribosomal RNA (905 nucleotides) under uncultured bacterium. RNAcentral's name for it is "bacterial SSU rRNA". It matches the Rfam family "Bacterial small subunit ribosomal RNA", at positions 8 to 916 of the family's 1533-position model. The record is from RNAcentral.